RNAcentral lists this ribosomal RNA (1543 nucleotides) under Cutibacterium acnes. RNAcentral describes it as "bacterial LSU rRNA". It matches the Rfam family "Bacterial large subunit ribosomal RNA", at positions 1411 to 2925 of the family's 2925-position model. Lineage: Bacteria; Bacillati; Actinomycetota; Actinomycetes; Propionibacteriales; Propionibacteriaceae. The record is from RNAcentral.
GUUUUUGAUGCUUCUGGGGUGGGUGAGUGUGUGAACCGAUCAUGUAGUAGGCAAGCUGCGGAGGGACGCAGUGAGGUAGCUCAUCCCCGGUGAUGGUUGUCCGGGGCUAAGUGUGUGGACUGUCUGGUAGGUAAAUCCGCUGGGCGUGAAGGUUGAGGCAUGAUGGGGAGCCCACGGUUGUGGGUGAGUGAGUGAUCCUGUACUGUCGAGAAAAGCUUCGUGAGCGAGGUGGCGGGUCCGCCCGUACCCUAAACCGACACUGGUGGAUAGGUAGAGUAUACCGAGGCGAUCGAGUGAAUCGUGGUGAAGGAACUCGGCAAAAUGCCCCCGUAACUUUGGGAUAAGGGGGACCUGAGCUGUCGUGCACCUGUGCGGUGUGGUGGCGGUGAGGGGCGCAGAGUCCAGGGGGAAACGACUGUUUACCAAAAACACAGGUCCGUGCGAAGUCGUAAGACGAUGUAUACGGACUGACUCCUGCCCGGUGCUGGAAGGUUAAGGGGAACUGUGAGUGUAUGCGUAGCGGUGAACUUAAGCCCCAGUAAACGGCGGUGGUAACUAUAACCAUCCUAAGGUAGCGAAAUUCCUUGUCGGGUAAGUUCCGACCUGCACGAAUGGAGUAACGAUUUCCCUACUGUCUCCACCAUGAACUCGGUGAAAUUGCAUUACGAGUAAAGAUGCUCGUUACGCGCAGCAGGACGGAAAGACCCCGGGACCUUUACUAUAGUUUGGUAUUGGUGAUUGGGACGGUUUGUGUAGGAUAGGUGGGAGACGUUGAUGCGGCCGCGCUAGUGGUGGUGGAGUCGUUGGUGAAAUACCACUCUGAUUGUUCUGGUUAUCUCACUGUGGACCGUGAUCCGGUUCAAGGACAGUGCCUGAUGGGUAGUUUGACUGGGGCGGUCGCCUCCUAAAGGGUAACGGAGGCGCCCAAAGGUUCCCUCAGCCUGGUUGGUAAUCAGGUGGUGAGUGUAAGUGCACAAGGGGGCUUGACUGUGAGACUGACAGGUCGAGCAGGGACGAAAGUCGGGACUAGUGAUCUGGCGGUGGCUUGUGGAUGCGCCGUCACUCAACGGAUAAAAGGUACCCCGGGGAUAACAGGCUGAUCUUGCCCGAGCGCUCAUAGCGACGGCAUGGUUUGGCACCUCGAUGUCGGCUCGUCGCAUCCUGGGGCUGGAGUCGGUCCCAAGGGUUGGGCUGUUCGCCCAUUAAAGCGGCACGCGAGCUGGGUUCAGAACGUCGUGAGACAGUUCGGUCCCUAUCCGCUGCGCGCGGAGGAAUCUUGAGAAGGGCUGUCUUUAGUACGAGAGGACCGAGACGGACUGACCUCUGGUGUGCCAGUUGUUCUGCCAAGAGCAUGGCUGGUUGGCUACGUCGGGUUGUGAUAACCGCUGAAAGCAUCUAAGCGGGAAGCACGCUUCAAGAUAAGGGUUCCCACAGGAGUGUUCCUGUAAGGUCCCCGAGAGAUGAUCGGGUUGAUAGGCCAGACGUGGACGCAUCGUAAGGUGUGGAGCUGACUGGUACUAAUAGACCGAGGACUUUCAUAACA